AUUGAACGCUGGCGGCAUGCUUUACACAUGCAAGUCGAACGGUAACAGGCCGCAAGGUGCUGACGAGUGGCGAACGGGUGAGUAAUGUAUCGGAACGUGCCCAGUCGUGGGGGAUAACGCAGCGAAAGCUGUGCUAAUACCGCAUACGAUCUAUGGAUGAAAGCGGGGGACCGUAAGGCCUCGCGCGAUUGGAGCGGCCGAUAUCAGAUUAGGUAGUUGGUGGGGUAAAGGCUCACCAAGCCGACGAUCUGUAGCUGGUCUGAGAGGACGACCAGCCACACUGGGACUGAGACACGGCCCAGACUCCUACGGGAGGCAGCAGUGGGGAAUUUUGGACAAUGGGCGCAAGCCUGAUCCAGCAAUGCCGCGUGCAGGACGAAGGCCUUCGGGUUGUAAACUGCUUUUGUACGGAGCGAAACGGCCCUCUCUAAUAAAGAGGGCUAAUGACGGUACCGUAAGAAUAAGCACCGGCUAACUACGUGCCAGCCGCCGCGGUAA
Molecule: ribosomal RNA, 498 nt
Filed under: uncultured bacterium
Lineage: Bacteria
Description: partial 16S ribosomal RNA
Rfam family: Bacterial small subunit ribosomal RNA
Source: RNAcentral